CCUACGGGAGGCAGCAGUGGGGAAUAUUGGACAAUGGACGAAAGUCUGAUCCAGCAAUGCCGCGUGAAUGAUGAAGGCCUUAGGGUUGUAAAGUUCUUUAAGUAGGGAAGCGGUACCUACAGAAUAAGCACCGGCUAACUCCGUGCCAGCAGCCGCGGUAAUACGGAGGGUGCAAGCGUUGUUCGGAAUUACUGGGCGUAAAGCGCGCGUAGGCGGCUUGAUAAGUUGGAAGUGAAAUCCCGGGGCUUAACUCCGGAAUUGCUUUCAAAACUAUCAAGCUAGAGUAUGAUAGGGGACAGUGGAAUUCCUAGUGUAGAGGUGAAAUUCGUAGAUAUUAGGAGGAACACCGGUGGCGAAAGCGACUGUCUGGAUCAUACUGACGCUGAGGCGCGAAAGCGUGGGGAGCAAACAGGAUUAGAUACCCUUGUAGUC
Molecule: ribosomal RNA, 432 nt
Filed under: uncultured bacterium
Lineage: Bacteria
Description: partial 16S ribosomal RNA
Rfam family: Bacterial small subunit ribosomal RNA
Source: RNAcentral